RNAcentral lists this unclassified non-coding RNA (202 nucleotides) under Hevea brasiliensis (rubber tree). Lineage: Eukaryota; Viridiplantae; Streptophyta; Magnoliopsida; Malpighiales; Euphorbiaceae. The record is from RNAcentral.
UGGGUCAAAGCCAAGCUGGUGUUCCAUCAUUGCUUCCUCUUAACAUUGGUGGUCGUGAAUAUUCAGCCCAAUAUACAGGUUCCUCCUCGACAUCUUAUCUGUCUGGUCACAAUAUGGAAACUGCAGUGGCUAAANNNNNNNNNNACUAGCCUAUCUGGGUUUUCUGGGAGAUCUGAAAUGUUAUGUUGCAAGUCAGAUCUCC